AGAAGAGCUCGCGUCCGAUUAGUUAGUUGGUGAGGUAAGAGCUCACCAAGGCAGCGAUCGGUAGCUGGUCUGAGAGGAUGAGCAGCCACACUGGGACUGAGACACGGCCCAGACUCCUACGGGAGGCAGCAGUGGGGAAUUUUCCGCAAUGGGCGAAAGCCUGACGGAGCAACGCCGCGUGUGGGAAGAAGGCUCUUGGGCUGUCAACCACUUUUCUCAGGGAAGAAGAUCUGACGGUACCUGAGGAAUCAGCCUCGGCUAACUCCGUGCCAGCAGCCGCGGUAAUACGGAGGAGGCAAGCGUUAUCCGGAAUUAUUGGGCGUAAAGCGUCCGCAGGGGGCGCAUCAAGUCUGCUGUUAAAGGUCGGAGCUUAACUCCGGUAGAGCAGUGGAAACUGGUGCGCUAGAGGGCGACAGGGGUAGAGGGAAUUCCCAGUGUAGCGGUGAAAUGCGUAGAGAUUGGGAAGAACACCGGUGGCGAAAGCGCUCUAAUGGGUCGCACCUGACCCUCAGGGACGAAAGCUAAGGUAGCGAAAGGGAUUAGAUACCCCUGUAGUUGACCCUCAGGGACGAAAGCUAAGGUAGCGAAAGGGAUUAGAUACCCCUGUAGU
Molecule: ribosomal RNA, 610 nt
Filed under: Euhalothece sp. BAA001
Lineage: Bacteria; Bacillati; Cyanobacteriota; Cyanophyceae; Chroococcales; Halothecacae
Description: bacterial SSU rRNA
Rfam family: Bacterial small subunit ribosomal RNA
Source: RNAcentral